UACGGCGGUCAUAGCGUCAGGGAAACGCCCGGUCACAUUCCGAACCCGGAAGCUAAGCCUGACAGCGACAGCGCCGAUGGUACUGCACUGGGAACGGUGUGGGAGAGUAGGACACCGCCGGAC
RNAcentral lists this ribosomal RNA (123 nucleotides) under Arsenicicoccus sp. The record is from RNAcentral. Lineage: Bacteria; Bacillati; Actinomycetota; Actinomycetes; Micrococcales; Intrasporangiaceae.